GUGGGGAAUAUUGGGCAAUGGGGGCAACCCUGACCCAGCGACGCCGCGUGAGGGAAGAAGGCCUUAGGGUCGUAAACCUCUGUUGUGUGGGAAGAAGGAAGUGACGGUACCACACGAGGAAGUCCCGGCUAACUACGUGCCAGCAGCCGCGGUAAUACGUAGGGGACGAGCGUUGUCCGGAAUUACUGGGCGUAAAGGGCGCGUAGGAGGUCAGUUAAGUCAGCUGUGAAAUGGUCCGGCUCAACCGGAUCAUGCGGUUGAAACUGGAUGACUGGAGUGCUGGAGAGGCAAGUGGAAUUCCCAGUGUAGCGGUGAAGUGCGUAGAUAUUGGGAAGAACACCGGUGGCGAAGGCGACUUGCUGGCCAGCAACUGACGCUGAGGCGCGAAAGCCAGGGGAGCAAACAGGAUUAGAUACCCGAGUAGUCC
Molecule: ribosomal RNA, 427 nt
Filed under: uncultured bacterium
Lineage: Bacteria
Description: partial 16S ribosomal RNA
Rfam family: Bacterial small subunit ribosomal RNA
Source: RNAcentral